GUGCUCACUUUGGCAACAUACAUACUAAAAUUGGAAGGAUUCAGACAUAAACAUGGCCCCUGCACAAGGAUGACAUGCAAAUUCAUGAAGCAUUCCAUAUUUUU
Molecule: small nuclear RNA, 104 nt
Filed under: Pan paniscus (pygmy chimpanzee)
Lineage: Eukaryota; Metazoa; Chordata; Mammalia; Primates; Hominidae
Source: RNAcentral